GACGUAGGGGGCGAGCGUUGUCCGGAUUUACUGGGCGUAAAGAGCGCGUAGGCGGUCUGUUAAGUCAGAAGUGAAAUCUCCAGGGCUCAACCCGGAAACUGCUUUUGAUACUGAUAGACUUGAGUGUCGGAGAGGUAACUGGAAUUCCUGGUGUGGCGGUGACAUGCAUUCAUAUCAGGAGGAACACCCAUGGCGAAGGCAGGUUACUGGCCGACAACUGACGCUGAGGCGCUAAAGCGUGGGUAGCAAACAGA
RNAcentral lists this ribosomal RNA (254 nucleotides) under uncultured bacterium. RNAcentral's name for it is "partial 16S ribosomal RNA". It matches the Rfam family "Bacterial small subunit ribosomal RNA", at positions 524 to 776 of the family's 1533-position model. The record is from RNAcentral.